CUUCAAGAGAUGUGGCGCCAAGCUCCGACUUGCCACACGCCAACCCCAUGUUCACGGGUGGUUCGGAUGAAGAAGCGGCCCGGCUCGGACCAGAGACAACCGAACGGGCAAGAGCAACUC
Molecule: non-coding RNA, 120 nt
Organism: Arthrobacter sp. Hiyo1
Lineage: Bacteria; Bacillati; Actinomycetota; Actinomycetes; Micrococcales; Micrococcaceae
Source: Rfam